GUCCCUUCGGGGACAUCCGAUAAAAUUGAAACGAUACAUAGAAGAUUCGCAUGGCUCCUGCGCAAGGAUGACACGCACAAAUAGAGAAAUAGUCCAAUUUAUU
Molecule: small nuclear RNA, 103 nt
Organism: Rhododendron vialii
Lineage: Eukaryota; Viridiplantae; Streptophyta; Magnoliopsida; Ericales; Ericaceae
Source: RefSeq, a predicted model, not a curated record